GGGGACGGUUUGCUGAGGAGGGAGUUGGGUUAUUUUCUGACCUUUGCCUUCUUGGGAAUUUUUCCCUCACUCUUUGACUUAUGGAGAAAACCUCAUUGUGAAAGGAUCUUUCUCUGUGUUGUAAAUACUGAAACAGUCCAGAAGCCACUGCCUCCUCAAGGUUUCUGGAAACUAGGAGUGGGUUUUUCCUCUCCUCGGUCACAGAAAUUUAUUCGAGUUCAUGGACAGAUGGAGAAUGUUGCCAAGCCAUUACUCUGUACAGUGACCUCCCAAAUGGAAUCCCUUCAGUGACCAUACAGUGAAUUACUCACCUCUUCACAUCAAGAUACAUGCUUCAGGAAAGAGCAAAGGUAACUUGGGAUGCAAAAGUUGACAGCUGUCUCCCGGGAGACCAUCAGUACUGGAAAUGAGGGCAUUGGGCUUCAACUGGAAAUGUUUCCCUUGGCACAGACCCAGGCUGGAAGAAUGGCGCCCGGUGAGAGGUCACGCCCGAGGAUGUGAGUGAAUACAUGCAUGCAUUUUGAAGAAAUGAGGGCCUCAGAACU
RNAcentral lists this long non-coding RNA (545 nucleotides) under Fukomys damarensis (Damara mole-rat). Its description in RNAcentral is "lncRNA (ENSFDAG00000028302.1)". The record is from RNAcentral. Lineage: Eukaryota; Metazoa; Chordata; Mammalia; Rodentia; Bathyergidae.